UCUCUCUUGCUCGUUAAUGACGUAACGUGUGUUGUGGUUCCGGGUCGCUUUUUCGUGUGCCAUGCUGUUUGAUUGAACACUGGCUCUCCAACUGGAGAUCUCUCUCGUUAUGCUGCGCAGUCAACAAACGGACUUGCUGUUUCUCUUGGGCAUUCGUGAAUGCUGUUUGAUUGAACACUGGCUCUCCAACUGGAGAGCUCUCUCACGGACCUGCUGUUCUUCUUGGGUAUGCGUGAAUGCUGUUUGAUUGGACUGAGGCCGGUUUAGUGGGAGAUCGUCGCCAGUUACGCAGUGUGAGUCGCUAGCUGCUGUUUUUCCUGCACUGCUGUAUUCCUGCAUCGCUGUGUUGCCCGCACUGCUGCUGUUUGCUUUACGCCUGCACCACUGUUUGUUUUAUGCGCAUGCAUUGAACAUUGUACCAGCAACUGGAGCAGAUUGCUGUGCGCUGGUUUUGCCAUUAUAACUACUGGGCAAUUAAGGCUGCAUGGCUAAAAAUGUGCCAUUUGUUUCAAGUGGGUCAGUGUUUUUAUGAUAUUUGAAGAUAGCUCAAGGGGUUGGGGCUUUAUAUUAUAAUUUUGCUGAUUUAAGUGUGUGUGUGUGUGUGUGUGUGUGUGUGUGUGUGUGUGAGCGUGUAUUUAUCACUUUGUGGGGACCAAAUGUCCCCAUAAGGAUAGUAAAACCCGAAAUUUUUGACCUUGUGGGGACAUUUUGUCGGUCCCCAUGAGGAAAACAGCUUAUAAAUCAUACUAAAUUAUGUUUUUUGAAAAUGUAAAAAUGCAGAAUGUUUUCUGUGAGGGUUAGGUUUAGGGGUAGGGUUAGGUUUAGGGGAUAGAAUAUAAAGUUUGUACAGUAUAAAAACCAUUAUGUCUAUGGAAAGUCCCCAUAAAACAUGGAAACACAACAUGUGUGUGUGUGUGUGUGUGUGACCAUUGCUGGUUUGGCAGUUUAUCUUGUGAUAAGUUUGUUAGUUCUUUUCAUUUAAAGAUUAUAUAUUGAUUUUCCUUAUUUCUUUUUUUUGUGAAUCUUUGUUAAGAUUACACUACACGAUUUUAAGACCGAUUUUUCGCUCUUUAAAAAUUUGUAAUAUUGGCAGGAGCACCAGUGCCUAUUUGAUGUUUCCUCUGAACUAUACCACAACCAGGUGGAGAAAGAGAAGAGUUGGAGAGAAAUUGGCAAUUCUCUUGGACAGUCAGGAUACAUAUCCUAAGGUUACCAGAGUCUACCAGAUCCUACUUUGCCCACUGCUACAUUAUGUGUUGCUGAGUGACGACAAAUAAUUGCAGCCUGUGCCAUCCAGACAGCAAGGGGUACUUCGAUGAUCACUGACAGCGUUACUUCAGUCUUCCACGAUGGAUUUCACAGAGGAUGAACUGCUACCAACUCUAACAGUGAGACCUGGCAGACUUCACUGCCUGCAGCUCAGGCUUAGGAUGGACUCCACCAAAAAUGAACCGCCAAGCUUCCAGAUGGACUACAAGGCACACCACGUGUACCUCCACCAGCACCUUCUUGGUCAUAAGAUGCACAACACUCUCUUACAAUAGAAUACAUAGAUGAUAAAUAAAUACCAAUUAAAGCCUUAAUCAACCAAAUAAAAGGACAAUGCAUUUAUGUGCACUUCUGCAAACAAUUUGGAAUGGAAUUCAGAGACACUUAAUCAUUAAUCUUAUAGUUCAUACAAAAUCCCUUAGUUUUAAACACUGCCCACCAAAAUCUACUCAGUCUAUUUACAUAAAACAAGACUUAAACUUGGAUAACUUAAUACUGGUGUUGUAUUCGUGCUGUUUAGCCAGAGGGGAACUUGCCCCCCAGAUGAGCCUGGUUUUCCCUUAAGGUUAUUUUUCUCCAUUAACACAAAUAUUUGGAGUUUUGUUUUACUUGCCACAGUCACCUUUGGCUUGCUCACUGGGGGCCUAAAGACAAUAAUGUUUAAGGCAUGCUUUUUAAUCUCGUCAUUAAUUUGAACGUCACAACGAGGACUUUAAUAGCAUAAUUUUUUGUUGCAGCAUAAUUUUAAAGCUGCUUUGAAAUUAUGUGCGUUGUGAAAAGCGCUUUACAAAUAAAUAUGACUUGACUAUAUAUUUAUAUUAUCAAUGUACUCAAUAAUACUCUAAAUGUUAUAUUAAGCAUCAAGUUAUACAAGAAUUCUUAGUAUACUCGAGGCCUCUUGUGCUUUUCUUGUCUAAACUCUUUGUACUCUUUGGGGAAAUUCUAGGGAAUAGAUGUCUUAACCACUUGUCAUUUACGAUGUAUAGUGCACACACAUGUGCAGAUGUGUUUUUUUUCUUCUAUAACAUAUUUGAAAAAAACUUAAUUUACUUUUAAGGAAGUGUUUCAUGUACGCAUGUUCUACCCAAUAUAGGUUGUGACAAAAUGUCUUUUGGCACUCUUCUGGCUAUCUUCAUUGACUUUCACAUCUCAUCUCUGCCACUUUAGACUUAAACUUUAAAUUUGUUCAUUAGACGAGACGACAUACUUUUCUUUAAUACUAGAGUUAGUCCAUGGGUAUAUAUUUAGUUCUAUUUUCUCAAAUGUAUUUAAAAAUAUAUAAUUUUGUAUUUAUUUGUAUUUAUUCAGUUUUUACUAAAGUUUGUUAUUCCUU
This is a long non-coding RNA of Xyrauchen texanus (razorback sucker), 2602 nucleotides long. RefSeq lists it as uncharacterized. Lineage: Eukaryota; Metazoa; Chordata; Actinopteri; Cypriniformes; Catostomidae. The transcript is spliced from 3 exons. The record is from RefSeq and is a predicted model, not a curated record.